CGUUAAUUCAAGAAAUACCGUUUUAUCAUUUUGAACUUUAAUACCGUGAUAGGAAAUAGGGUGAAGGGUCCUUACUUGUUUUUGGGAUCCAAAUACGAUUCACAGUGCGCCUACAGGCCGUCCCUAAUUUUCUCUGAAUUUUUCCGGGGGAACUGAAACACACUAACGGUACCUGCACGUGUUCCAAAAAAAAAAACCCAAAUUAGGCCCAGGGCCUCUUUCGGCCCAAAUCGCAACUCCG
Molecule: long non-coding RNA, 241 nt
Filed under: Carica papaya (papaya)
Lineage: Eukaryota; Viridiplantae; Streptophyta; Magnoliopsida; Brassicales; Caricaceae
Description: long non-coding RNA (CPAP_LNC001005)
Source: RNAcentral